Molecule: long non-coding RNA, 345 nt
Filed under: Lathyrus oleraceus (garden pea)
Lineage: Eukaryota; Viridiplantae; Streptophyta; Magnoliopsida; Fabales; Fabaceae
Description: Pisum sativum (pea) long non-coding RNA (PSAT_LNC039732)
Source: RNAcentral
UUCUCCUGCUGCAAUCUCCCCACUUCUUUCUGAUGAAUCUUCAUCUGCCUGAAGUAGUGAUCUCUCUCUGCCAUGUAAUGAUCUCUCUCGGCGACGAUCUUUGCUUUCUCCGCUUCCCACUCUGCAGCAAGGCUCCGGGCUCUAGCAUCUCUCUGAUCCUUCACGAGAAUCUGCCUCCGCUUCUCAUCCUCAAUGAUCUGUGAAGCUCUAGCCAAUCUCUCUUUGGUGAUGUCGUGCUCUCUGGUAGAUGAUGCUAAUGCCUGAUUAACCUUCCCAUAGUAGGUUGUAUCCAUCUCAAAGCGCUUGGCUUCCAAGGCAUGUCGCUUGUCUUGAUCUUCCAUCUUC